Molecule: ribosomal RNA, 513 nt
Filed under: uncultured bacterium
Lineage: Bacteria
Description: partial 16S ribosomal RNA
Rfam family: Bacterial small subunit ribosomal RNA
Source: RNAcentral
AUUGAACGCUGGCGGCAUGCCUUACACAUGCAAGUCGAACGGCAGCACGGGAGCUUGCUCCUCUAGAUUCAGCGGCGGACGGGUGAGUAACACGUGGGCAACCUGCCCUGUAGAUUGGGAUAACUCCGGGAAACCGGGGCUAAUACCGAAUAAUCCUUCGGACCUCAUGGUCCGAUGUUGAAAGACGGUUUCGGCUGUCACUACAGGAUGGGCCCGCGGCGCAUUAGCUAGUUGGUGAGGUAACGGCUCACCAAGGCCACGAUGCGUAGCCGACCUGAGAGGGUGAUCGGCGACACUGGGACUGAGACACGGCCCAGACUCCUACGGGAGGCAGCAGUAGGGAAUCUUCCACAAUGGACGAAAGUCUGAUGGAGCAACGCCGCGUGAGUGAAGAAGGUUCUCGGAUCGUAGAACUCUGUUGUGAGGGAAGAACAAGUACCGGAGUAACUGCCGGUGCCUUGACGGUACCUCAUUAGAAAGCCACGGCUAACUACGUGCCAGCAGCCGCCGCAG